GGCCGUGCGGGGCCAUGCGGAGCCCCGGGGCCGGCCCGGGCCGCUCUGGAGGCCCCGGCUCCCCCGGAACACGGCGACCUGCCCACACCCGGGGAUGAACGUCCCGCUGCGGUGAGCGCUUCCACGAAUCGCAUCGCAGGGUCCGGCGCGGCCGCUCCGAAGCCGGGGCAGGGAACCGCGCUCCCCGCGGGAGCGUCGUCGAGGCUGGGACUCGCCGGUCCGCGGCGCGCGGGGUCGGGCCCGUAACCACGGCGGACGCGCAGGGCUCCCAGGCCCGAUCGGGAGUCGCGGCGACCCGCAGCCUCGCCGGGGGUCGAGUCUCCCCUGGGGGGCCCUGGGGCGGGAAGGCCCCGAGCUUCUUCCCCUGUUCGCAGUCAGGGUUGUCGCGGCAUCUUCGCGGAUCCCAAGCCGGACCUCGUCUGCAGGCGGAGCGUUUACCCAGCGGACCCGGGACAUUCUCAGUCCGCGCCCGUGGAUUUCUCUAACGACCGAAGCUCGUGUCCUUCCAGUGCCCGAUUUUCACUGUAUUUAAUGAGAAAAUUUUCACGGGCUUCUGCUCUGGGUCUUUGACGGUCGCGUCACCUGCUCCUGACACCCGGGAAGCAUUGCUCUUGUCUGCUGUCGGGGCGCCGCGCGGCCAGGGACGCGCCGUUUGCCCUUCGAAGACCUGGUCGGCCGGAGCCACUUGCAGCUGUGGCUGCCCCACGCGCCGCGCAGGGCUGUUCUCUGGCGGGCGGUUCCUCCGCACACCUGCCGCCGCUGCUUGGAAAUCAGACGGUGGACGCAGCGGCAAAGAGAGCCACGCACUGAAGCAUCCAUUUCCUCCUCUUCCCAGCAGGAUGAGUAAAUACACUUCUAAGGGUACAGGAAAUCCAUUAGCACGUAUCCUUUGUUGCGCGAGCAGGUGCUUACCCACCAAGAGAAGCCAGUGAGCACAAAUGCCCCAGGCUCGUCCUGCCCUCGGGGAGCUUCCCUUCUGGGGACCUGAAAGAGCUUGUAAACAAGUCGCAUGUGUGGUGCUGCUUUGUCAGAAAAGAAGAGGAUGCGUCCAUCUACAUUCGACAUUCACUAUCACGAAUCAAGACAAAAUCCUACAGUAGGCUUUGGCAUGGCACCAUAUUUGAAUUCCGGGGGAUGUUCUGGGCAUUGCUUUGGAGUCUUGGAAAAGAAAAGUGCUACAAAAGGAGACUCUAAGGCAUUGUCUAAAAUAAUACUAAAACCACUGGUUGAAAAUUAAAAUAUUUCAA
Molecule: long non-coding RNA, 1247 nt
Organism: Mustela lutreola (European mink)
Lineage: Eukaryota; Metazoa; Chordata; Mammalia; Carnivora; Mustelidae
Exons: 3
Source: RefSeq, a predicted model, not a curated record